GAGCUAGACUUUUUUUUUAGUCAAUUAAGUGGGUUUAUUUUAGUUGUAUAGAGUAUUGAUAUGAGUUAACUCUUUUUAGUAGAUGGCAAAGUGGGCUUGAUGUUCAAAAGUAAUGUUCGAGUUAGGGUUCAUGGUCCCUUUCUCAGUAAUUUUUUCUUAAUAAAAGUAAACACUGGUUCAAAGACAAAUAGCAAGUAUUCCCUCCUGUGCUGUUUAUAGAGGGCUCAAUUCGUAGAAAGGCAUACCCUCCAAUGCAAUUCUGUGGCUGUCUCUUACAGUGGUUUCAGAAUCACGAUAAAACAGCUAGUAAACAAGAUAGGAACAAAAAAGAAAGAGUUCAGAAGUUCCCUGUGAGCAAACUGUGUGUCUCCAGCUAGCUUGAACCAAAGUCUUCAUAUCCUGACCCACUGAAUUAUAAGCAAUUGCUACUUGCCCAUCUUGCCAAAGUAAUCCAAACACACUUCGAUGAGGACAGUUAUAUUUAGCAGGUCCUCACCCCUGCAAGAGACAGCAUAUCCUCACUAUUAUUAUUCAUGUGUUAUUGGCAAAAACAUAGCUUGCAUCUUUCCAGAGGCAGAGUUUCAAAGACAGGGUUUUCUUUGAGACAUAAGCACAUUGCUUAAGUACAUAACAAGGUUAUUAACACUUGCGCUCAGGAGAAAGGAAAUAGCUAUUGCAAAUUAAUGUGUGCAACUUAAUAAAAUAAGCUGUUUGUGUAUAUGAAUUUAGCUCUAGGUAAGCAAAAUGCACACAUCAUAUAAAAAUAAAUUGCAACGAUCAGACCAAGUGGCUGUGCUGAACAUCAAAGAAAAGACAUGUUGUUGCCAUCAGGAGAACUCUUUCUUAUAUGCGAUAGCCAAGAUAUCUUUAAUAUGAAAAAAGUUAAUUUCUGAAUUUCAAAAAGAGUAAGAUUAGCUAAUUGGUCUUCCUAAUUUUUAUGCCUUUAGAGUUUUUAGUCUAUUCAAGUAGAAGAGUCCAGCGAGGCCAAAGAAGGGUUACGGUGUUCAAGUUCUGGUUGUUGGAGUUUUUAGCCCAGAGUGACAUACUGAAAUCAGUAAAUAAUUAUUUUAUAAUGACACAGCACAACUGCCUUGUUAUGAAUUUUUCUUAAAUGCAUAUAUACUGUAUUUAAAAUUAAAAUACAGAUACCAAUUUACCAAAGAUACAUAUUACUAAUUCUAAGCAAAAUUUUUAAAAAAUCCCCAACUCAUCAUAAUUUAAGAAUCAAAAUGUAGUUCGUCUUAAGAAUUUAGCGGUUAUACUGGAAAUGCAUUUUCAACUCCUAUGUUCUAAAGUUUAUGUUCAAAUGGUGCCAGCGAAUUUUUAUAUGAAGGGAAAAUGCCUGCUUUUUUUGUUUUUUUUAACAGAUGUAAUUUCACUUAACCCUUUGCGCUUUCCCUUAGUUGUCAUUUAACAUACAAUACUGGCUUUACUUAUCUCUAGAAAGAAGGCAUGCUACAAAUAGGAAGGAAUUGUAAUAACGAUAUUUGGCCUCUACUUUGUCUUAGCUGUUAAACUGUUUUUAGUAUUUUUGUUAAAUAUUUGCAAAGGGAAGCAUUUUCUACAGACGAUAAUUAAUUUCAAGAAAAAUCUUGAGUUUUAAGAAAUAAACAUCUCCAGAAAAGGAGACAGUCGAUUUUAUAAAAUGUCGCAACUCUCCAACAUUUGGGGUAGUGACUCCUUUUUUGUUAGGACAUUUGAAACUAGCAAGCAGCCAUUGUUUCUAAAGAAUUCUGCCCUCAUGUUGACCCAUGUUUCUUUCACUUCAUUUUGAAAUAGCUAAAAAUCAUUAAAACUGUAAAUAUUUUGUUGCUUGGGUAAGCAUCUUCUGGGAACUUUGUAUCUAUGGUAUAUAAUCAUAGAAUUUUAUAUUUUCAUAUAAAGCUAAUUUUUUUCUAGUUUCAACUCCGUCAUAGUUUUUUUUCCUUUUUGUGGUGGAUAUGUGAAUUCAACUUUCUGUGUACUGAAGUAGCAAAAACCAUCUUUACAUUCCAAAAGAAUCCAACAUGUGUUAUUUCUUUGAGGCAGUGAUUGUGAAAGUUGGGUUUUCUUUUUAAUUCCAUUGACCAUUUGUGCAAUAGGAAUUAGACAUAAUUAGUCACUGAAAACAUUUGUCGCAUUGACCCAUUUGGAAAAAGUGUGUGUUUUUUUUAAAAUUUGUUCAGGGGGAGGGGUUUUGUAACCUGAAAUUUUUCCCUUUUUCUUCUGUUUAAACUAUAUCAAAUCAUUCUAUUAUAGUGUUAUUUAAUAUGUAAAUUGUAUUGCUAUACAUAAAAUAAAGUAUGGUUUUUGA
Molecule: long non-coding RNA, 2293 nt
Filed under: Pongo abelii (Sumatran orangutan)
Lineage: Eukaryota; Metazoa; Chordata; Mammalia; Primates; Hominidae
Description: lncRNA (ENSPPYG00000038267.1)
Source: RNAcentral